Non-coding RNA from Gossypium raimondii (Peruvian cotton), 107 nucleotides. Lineage: Eukaryota; Viridiplantae; Streptophyta; Magnoliopsida; Malvales; Malvaceae. The record is from Rfam.
AACCCAUGAUAAGGACACAUUCUUAGAAAAUCCUUAAAUCUCUUCCAUGCAUCAUGCAGUGUCUCAAGCUCAAAUUGAGCAAAAUAAGAGAUGUCAUUCCUUAACUU